AGAGCUUCCAUUGGGUUGAACCUAGGGUGCUGCCCAACAUCCCUGACUCUCAUGACUGGUUGUGUUAAAAGAACAGUCAGUUCUCAAUCUCUUUGAGAAAUUUCAAUCAUCCUUUGUUUGUGAAGCCGAUUCUACUCUUGGAAGCCAGAGAUGGCGGGCAACAGCCUGUGUACUACCAUGUUAAGAGUUGCAGAAAGGUAGAGGUCUGUUCUUGUUUGUUGAGCACAGUCCUCCUGGUCUGUGAACUGGAGAGCACAUUUGUCUCAACCAGCCUGAAUGUUUUUCUUUCCAGUUCCCGGACAUCAGUCAAGAGUCUGACUCUCCAUUUGUCUUCAUCUGCAAAAAUCCCCAGGAAAUGGUUGUGAAGUUCCCUAUUAAAGGAAAUCCUAAAAUCUGGAAACUGGAUUCCAAGAUCCAUCAAGGAGCAAAGAAGGGGUUAAUGAAGCAGAAUAAAGCUGUCUGACCCAGGAAAAAAGGAACUAUACAACAUAGUGGAGUCUUGUGUACUAAAUUGCUAUCCGCUGGUCCUUUGGGAUGGAAGCAGUAGAAAGCUAAAAGGCUUGGCACCAGGCUUCGGUCUCUGAGAAUUUAAACUCUUACCAAAUCUGUAUAUUUUUUUCUUAAAGGAUGGGAUUCUUUAUGUAGUGGGUCAAAAAUCUUUAAAUAUGUUAUUUAUAAAAACUCAUUUU
Molecule: long non-coding RNA, 689 nt
Filed under: Rattus norvegicus (Norway rat)
Lineage: Eukaryota; Metazoa; Chordata; Mammalia; Rodentia; Muridae
Description: long non-coding RNA NONRATT028702
Source: RNAcentral